AUUGAACGCUGGCGGCAUGCCUUACACAUGCAAGUCGAACGGCAGCACGGGAGCAAUCCUGGUGGCGAGUGGCGAACGGGUGAGUAAUAUAUCGGAACGUGCCCGGUCGUGGGGAUAACGUAGCGAAAGCCACGCUAAUACCGCAUACGAUCUAUGGAUGAAAGCGGGGGAUCGCAAGACCUCGCGCGAUUGGAGCGGCCGAUAUCAGAUUAGGUAGUUGGUGAGGUAAAGGCUCACCAAGCCGACGAUCUGUAGCUGGUCUGAGAGGACGACCAGCCACACUGGGACUGAGACACGGCCCAGACUCCUACGGGAGGCAGCAGUGGGGAAUUUUGGACAAUGGGCGCAAGCCUGAUCCAGCAAUGCCGCGUGCAGGAUGAAGGCCUCGGUUGUAAC
RNAcentral lists this ribosomal RNA (396 nucleotides) under uncultured bacterium. RNAcentral describes it as "bacterial SSU rRNA". It matches the Rfam family "Bacterial small subunit ribosomal RNA", at positions 30 to 429 of the family's 1533-position model. The record is from RNAcentral.